UCCCAGACUCCUACGGGAGGCAGCAGUCGGGAAUAUUGCGCAAUGGCGGAAACUCUGACGCAGUGACGCCGCGUAUAGGAAGAAGGUUUUCGGAUUGUAAACUAUUGUCGUUAGGGAAGAUACAAGACAGUACCUAAGGAGGAAGCCCCGGCUAACUACGUGCCAGCAGCCGCGGUAAUACGUAGGGGGCAAGCGUUAUCCGGAUUUACUGGGUGUAAAGGGAGCGUAGACGGAUGGAUAAGUCUGAAGUGAAAGCCCGCGGCUCAACUGCGGGACUGCUUUGGAAACUGUGCAUCUUGAGUACGGGAGGGGCAGGCGGAAUUCCUGGUGUAGCGGUGAAAUGCGUAGAUAUCAGGAGGAACACCGGCGGCGAAGGCGGCCUGCUGGACCGAAACUGACGUUGAGGCUCGAAAGCGUGGGGAGCAAACAGGAUUAGAUACCCUGGUAC
RNAcentral lists this ribosomal RNA (448 nucleotides) under uncultured bacterium. Its description in RNAcentral is "bacterial SSU rRNA". It matches the Rfam family "Bacterial small subunit ribosomal RNA", at positions 329 to 793 of the family's 1533-position model. The record is from RNAcentral.